AUUGAACGCUGGCGGUAGGCCUAACACAUGCAAGUCGAACGGCAGCACAGUAAAAGCUUGCUCUUCCGGGUGGCGAGUGGCGGACGGGUGAGGAAUACAUCGGACUCUACUUUUUCGUGGGGGAUAACGUAGGGAAACUUACGCUAAUACCGCAUACGACCUACACGUGAAAGCAGGGGAUCUUCGGACCUUGCGCGAUUGAAUGCGCCGAUGUCGGAUUAGCUAGUUGGCGGGGUAAAGGCCCACCAAGGCGACGAUCCGUAGCUGGUCUGAGAGGAUGAUCAGCCACACUGGAACUGAGGCACGGUCCAGACUCCUACGGGAGGCAGCAGUGGGGAAUAUUGGACAAUGGGCGCAAGCCUGAUCCAGCCAUACCGCGUGGGUGAAGAAGGCCUUCGGGUUGUAAAGCCCUUUUGUUGGGAAAGAAAAGCAGCAGGUUAAUACCCCGCUGUUCUGACGGUACCCAAAGAAUAAGCACCGGCUAACUUCGUG
RNAcentral lists this ribosomal RNA (492 nucleotides) under uncultured bacterium. Its description in RNAcentral is "partial 16S ribosomal RNA". It matches the Rfam family "Bacterial small subunit ribosomal RNA", at positions 30 to 507 of the family's 1533-position model. The record is from RNAcentral.